CAGUCGAUAGGCGCCGGUCUGCAGGGUGGACUAAUCCGCUCUCCGGGAUUCAAACAUAUCAAGUAUCAGCUGAAGACGGCCUGCGAUUGGCGGCUGCAGGUCCGCGCCGGCCAGCGAAUCAUGCUGCACUUCACACAGUGGCUCGGCGUCGAAGGAAACAUGGCCGGCCUCGCUGCGGUAGCCGUGUGCGUGUGUAACCGAAUACGUCGGGACGCGCGGCGGAGAGUUCUGCCACGGCAGUCCGACAGCCUGCCCGCACGCCUGCACAUGUGGACGUUCGAACGGUCCUACCCUACCGUCUGACGUUUUCCACGGGAGAAUUUGGCGG
Long non-coding RNA from Priapulus caudatus, 328 nucleotides. RefSeq lists it as uncharacterized. The record is from RefSeq and is a predicted model, not a curated record. The transcript is spliced from 3 exons. Lineage: Eukaryota; Metazoa; Priapulida; Priapulimorpha; Priapulimorphida; Priapulidae.